GAUGAACGCUGGCGGCGUGCCUAAUACAUGCAAGUCGAGCGAACAGACGAGGAACUUGCUCCUCUGACGUUAGCGGCGGACGGGUGAGUAACACGUGGAUAACCUACCUAUAAGACUGGGAUAACUUCGGGAAACCGGAGCUAAUACCGGAUAAUAUAUUGAACCGCAUGGUUCAAUAGUGAAAGACGGGUUUGCUGUCACUGAUAGAUGGAUCCGCGCCGCAUUAGCUAGUUGGUAAGGUAACGGCUUACCAAGGCGACGAUUCGUAGCCGACCUGAGAGGGUGAUCGGCCACACUGGAACUGAGACACGGUCCAGACUCCUACGGGAGGCAGCAGUAGGGAAUCUUCCGCAAUGGGCGAAAGCCUGACGGAGCAACGCCGCGUGAGUGAUGAAGGUCUUCGGAUCGUAAAACUCUGUUAUUAGGGAAGAACAAAUGUGUAAGUAACUAUGCACGUAUUGACGGUACCUAAUCAGAAAGCCACGGCUAACUACGUG
This 497-nucleotide ribosomal RNA is filed under the name uncultured bacterium. RNAcentral's name for it is "partial 16S ribosomal RNA". It matches the Rfam family "Bacterial small subunit ribosomal RNA", at positions 28 to 507 of the family's 1533-position model. The record is from RNAcentral.